CACGUUGAAACACCGAUUCCCGUACGAUCACCGAAGGUAAGCAAUGUUGAAACUCGUCAGUACCUAGAUGGGUAACCGCUUGGGAAUUCCAAGUGCUGUAAG
Acanthosepion pharaonis is the source of this 102-nucleotide non-coding RNA. NCBI's taxonomy places the organism in Eukaryota, Metazoa, Mollusca, Cephalopoda, Sepiida, Sepiidae. The record is from the annotation of a GenBank genome assembly.